Molecule: long non-coding RNA, 1269 nt
Organism: Manis pentadactyla (Chinese pangolin)
Lineage: Eukaryota; Metazoa; Chordata; Mammalia; Pholidota; Manidae
Exons: 4
Source: RefSeq, a predicted model, not a curated record
UAAAAUAAUAGAAAGUAUAAUUCUGAAUUAGUUCAAAGUAAUUAUAAUUAGAGGAGUAACUUCCUUUCAAAUUUUGUGAAAGAGCAUCUUUUAUUUUUUCUGGUGCUGAAAUGACCUAGAAAGAAUAAAACCAGGAAGGUUUGUAAAUGUGAGAAUAUUCCUUUCAAUAUUGGAAAUUAUAUAUGGAGAUAAAAGCUUUUGAGCUCCUACUAUGGAAUUUGAUAGGACCACAAAAGUUGAUCUAAUCAGUCCUUCUGCUUUCAGGAAGGAUUAUCUCAACAAUCUCUCAAGAUCUAUGGUUGUAUAUUUUAUUUAUGAAGAUAAUGAAAGUGAGACUUGGGUGAGGGCAGGGAUAGGAGCUCUGGAAGGUUCACAUAAUAAUUUCUAAGGUUUAGAGUUUAGAUAAGAGCUACUUAUUCAAUGUGAUUAUUCUAACCUCUACUAGUUAUCUCUGCUAAUUAGAUAUCUGAUAGCUGAGACAAUAUUUUUCCUUUUCCUUUUCCUAGAGAUUUAUCCUGCAAUAAAAUACAGGCUAUUGAAAGACUUACAUUUGAAUCACUACCUUUUCUGCAGUUUAUAAAUCUUGGUUGCAAUCUAAUUACAGAACUGAGCUUUGGAACAUUUCAGGCCUGGCAUGGAAUGCAGUUCUUACACACAUUAAACCUCAGUCAUAAUCCUCUGACAACUGUUGAAGAUUCUUACUUUUUCAAAUUGAGAGCAUUAAAAUAUUUAGACAUGGGAAAAACCCAAGUGACACUUAAAACAGUUGAGAGCAUCGUCAUGAUGAGCCCCAAGUUAGAAAAACUGUAAGUUGGUUUUUCUUAUAUUUAUUUUCAUUUAGUUGAUUUUUUAAAGUUUCAUUAUUUUACUAAGUCAGGCUUAUUGAAGUGUGAUUUUCAUGUAAUCAAAUUUGCUUUCUAAGAGUACAGUUUGAUGGAUUUUAACAACUGUAUAGUUAUGUAACCACCACCAUUUGAAAUGCAGAACUCGUGUGACUCCAGAAAGGCCCCUCAUGGCGGUUUGCAGGCAAACCCCUUCUCCCAUCACCAGCCCCCCGGCCACCACCAGUCUGAUUUUCAUCUCUGCAGUUUUUGCCAUUUCCAGAAGGUCUUCUCAAUGAACUCAUAUCGCAUGUAACCUGUUGUGUUGGCUCUUUUUACUUAGCAUAAUCUUUUUGCGGGUCAUCCAUGUUGUCACAGCUGUCCCUCCUUUUUACUGCUGAGUAGAGUUCCAUACCAGUCAUCAAUUAAUGAACAUUUGAGUUGUUUC